CCUACGGGCGGCAGCAGUGAGGAAUAUUGGUCAAUGGACGAGAGUCUGAACCAGCCAAGUCGCGUGAAGGAUGACUGUCCUAUGGGUUGUAAACUUCUUUUAUAUGGGAAUAAAAUGUUCCACGUGUGGGAUUUUGUAUGUACCUUAUGAAUAAGGAUCGGCUAACUCCGUGCCAGCAGCCGCGGUAAUACGGAGGAUCCGAGCGUUAUCCGGAUUUAUUGGGUUUAAAGGGGGCGUAGGUGGAUUGUUAAGUCAGUUGUGAAAGUUUGGGGCUCAACCGUAAAAUUGCAGUUGAAACUGGCAGUCUUGAGUACAGUAGAGGUAGGCGGAAUUCGUGGUGUAGCGGUGAAAUGCUUAGAUAUCACGAAGAACUCCGAUUGCGAAGGCAGCUCGCUGGACUGCAACUGACGCUGAGGCUCGAAAGUGUGGGUAUCGAACAGGAUUAGAUACCCCUGUAGUC
RNAcentral lists this ribosomal RNA (460 nucleotides) under uncultured bacterium. RNAcentral describes it as "partial 16S ribosomal RNA". It matches the Rfam family "Bacterial small subunit ribosomal RNA", at positions 338 to 795 of the family's 1533-position model. The record is from RNAcentral.